CCCUGCCUCAGUGCAGCCGGGGCGGUGGCGGCUAAAGAGCUGGAGGCUUCACCAUGAUCGCGGGGAUUAGGGAGCGGUUCCACCGAUUCCUGCACGAGAAGAACCGCAUGACCGCCGUGCUCGAGCAUAUCGAGAGCAAGACCGGUGUCAACCGCGCCUAUAUUGCCAUCGCCAUCGUCGGGGCGGUGGCCGUGUACCUGGUGGUGGGCUACGGCGCCUCCCUGCUCUGCAACAUCAUCGGUUUCGUCUAUCCCGCCUACGUGUCAAUCAAGGCUAUUGAAAGUCCCAACAAAGAUGAUGACACACAGUGGCUGACUUACUGGGUUGUAUAUGGUGUUUUCAGCAUAGUGGAAUUCUUUUCUGAUAUCUUUCUGUUCUGGUUCCCUUUCUACUACAUGAUAAAGUGUGGCUUCCUGUUGUGGUGCAUGGCUCCAAGUGCUUCCAACGGGGCAGAGUUUCUCUAUCAUCGAAUUAUCCGGCCUUUCUUCCUGAAGCAUGAAGCUCAGCUUGACAGUGUUGUUAAAGACCUGAAAGACAAGGCUGCAGAGACUGCAGAUACCAUCGCUAAGGAAGGUAUUUGGAAGACCUUUGGAAGUAUAGAAGAGCUGCCAAUUGUGUAGUAAAGCAAAUCCUUUAACUCCAAUAAACAGCAACAUGGGAAAUGAAGUUUUCCCAUCUCCAAGAAAGCAACAGUGAACUUACUGGGUGAAGAAAAGAAGAGCACCUAAGCUAUGAACUGGAUAAAGCUUCCCUACCACCUCCUUUAUGAAGCUUGAUGUUACUGGAAACUGUGGUAUACAUCUUAAUAAUAUUGCCUUGGAAACUUUUGAUAUAUUAAAGGAGUAUGUCCUAAGUUUGCUUACCACUUUUCUGUGUCUGACAGAAAGUGUUUUUAUUUAAAAGCAAUGCAGCAGGCAGCAUCUGAAGCUUAAUGAACAUACUUAUCUUCAUGCAGAAGAAAUCUUUCAGUAAUCUCUCUGCUUUAACAUAAAUAAAAAGUAUAUAUCCCACAGGCUCUGCACUUUAGUUGUCUCUGUGUGUGUAAUUACUCAUCAUGCUUCAACUGUCGUGCAUCUGGUAACAUGAAGCUAGUGUAUAAGAAAAAUACUGGUCUGAAUGGGUCUUCUUGAACAUACAGGGAAUUACUAUGAGAGAUGGCAUAAUGGAUGUAUUCCAUUCCACCAAAGUUGUAAAUGAUGAAAUUACAUGUUCUAGGCACCUGAUGAUAGAAAUUACUCACUAUUGCAUGUUUUGUUGUAACACAGUAUUUGGUAAAGUGUGUGUAUUCCUAAAUGGAUAGAUACUAAAUACAGGGAAGAAUAACUUCAUUCAAGUGAUCAAGGUUAUAUUAGUGUGAAAUAAUUUGCCAGAAAAAGAUGUAUUAGAUUGCACAGGAUUAGCACAAGAUGACUAAAGUACACCUCCUUGCCUCUUCUUGAUAAAUAAAGUUGUCAUCUAAUAGAGUGCCUUUCAGAAUCACUUUCAAAAUCAAAACUACGUUUUACUAAGGAGCAGUACUAUUCCAAACACUUUUUCCUAAAGUUUUGUUGAAAUACUAACUGCCUUGAGUGCCAGUCUGCAGAACCACAUCAUUAAUGGGAUGGACUGUGGCCUCCAGGAGCCUCUUCUGCUCAUAAAAAUCUGCAGUCUCUUCUGACUGUACUAAGAGUAACUUUUCAUGACCACUGAAACUUCCUGAAGAAGAUGCUUUGUUGCUGCUUGAUACAUAUACCUGACCAAUCAGUAAGAAUGCCACCAAGGUUAUUAAGAGAAUAAAGGGCUUUUUGCAAUCAAUAGAAAAUAUUUUUUUUUUGAUACAAACGUGUAUUCAAUCUUCCACACUGCAGACUUUUCAACAGAUUCAGCAUGAAUUACUGAAAUCUCACAGUUCUCAUCUCCAUGCUGAGAUUUCUUUAAAGCCUACAGGAACACUAUGACACUUCUUAACUCACAGAACACAGAGAAGGCAAGUUUAAGGUUUUGAUAUGCAAAAAAGUGAUUUCUGGUCCAGAGUCUUAUAUUCAAAAGAUUUAAAGUAUACUUUUGAAGACUUGGCUUUCUGCAAUAAAUUGGUAUAUAAACAUUCACUGUAAAUUUUCAGACAUGAGAACUGCAAAAGAAUGCACCAGUUAGUGGAACUCUGCAGGCAGUUUCAAAUUUGAUAGUUGUAUUGAAGAUUUGUAGAAGUGUCUUACGAAGAAACAUUUCAAGCUUUACGCUGGAAAACACAGCGCUUAGGGCUGCAACCUUGGAUAGUGAACUGAGACCCACUGUGCAUCAUUUUUUGUAGGACAGCAUAAGCUUUGUUGUUCGAAGGAAAAAAAAAUCACAGCUAAUAAUUCUGUGACUUUUUAUUAUGACUGGAUGUGGUGAAGGGAAUAAAAGUUUACAGCAAAGUUGUACAUCUGUGAAAAUCCACCAUAGAAGUGGAUUAAUCUCGUCUUGCUUUUCUCUGUCUUAAAUCCACUGCACUGUUCUGUAAGCCAUACUUAAGUCCUAAUGCUGUAUUUUAAACCCUAUAAGGUGUGUAUUUAGAGGUCAUGUGGCCAGUGUAAUUUAGCUUCAACUCUUGAAAACAUAAGUAAUAAAUAAAAAUGCUUAAUAGUCUUACCUGAUUUAAGUAUGGAAUACUAUGUAACAUGCUUCUUUAAAAGCUGCUGAUAAAUGUUGGACAAGCCUAAAGGGGUCUGUAGCAAAAGCAGAACUCACUUGUAAUUUCUAAUACUACUAAACAUUUCACGUAUUAAUGGGGAUAAAUAUUUCUAGGUAAGUGUUAAAAUAUUUUCUUACAUCUCUUCUUAGAACUUAAAAGUUAGGCUUAAAAUCACAUUCUUGUCUCUACAACUUUGUAUUUCUUGACCUAAGCAGCUAACUCCAGUAUUUCUUUGUCAGAUUUCUACUUCUAGUAGAACACUGUUAACAAAACGUGAUCUUGUUUGCCUUGAUGCAAGUAGAAAUUACCGAGUUUCUGAAGCAGAAAAGUUACUCUUUCCUGCAAGAAACUCCACUGGGCUGGCCCCAUUGAUCUGUGUUCUUCUCACUGUCAUCAUACCAAUAUUUAUGUGCAGAUGUUGGUAUGCACAUACGCUCCCAUGUGUCUGCUGAAGUUGUAAUAUGCUAAAUAAAAAUGGAUACAAAUAAAAAAGAGAUUCUUA
Molecule: RNA transcript, 3155 nt
Organism: Neopsephotus bourkii (Bourke's parrot)
Lineage: Eukaryota; Metazoa; Chordata; Aves; Psittaciformes; Psittacidae
Gene: REEP5
Gene name: receptor accessory protein 5
Exons: 6
Source: RefSeq, a predicted model, not a curated record